GUAUAGAUAUGUACUGUCAUAUACUGGAUAGACGUGUGCUUUCCCUAGUAUCAUUGCUAUAGUGUGAUGUAUGAUUAAUCCCUUGUACAGGAAUCCUGUUUUACGUUUCUUGAUGAGAAAUGUGUGAGUUAGGCUUAAUGUAUAGCUUUGAUGUGAUACCAGUGGAUUGUGUUACAGAGUAAAAGGGUUUCAAUCCCUUGAUCCACAGCAGAUAGUAGUCCCUGGUAUAGGCCCUGAGGGCCAUUUCAGAUUGAUAUAUCUGAGUAGCAGUAGUUAAGCCUACAGAGUUUUACAGGAUUGUUGAGUAUCUUGUAUCAUGUAUGGGAUUUAUCAGGUACACAAAGAGUAUAGUUGGCUGACUACGGGUCCCGGCGGCCUUAAGCCGAUCUGGAUCCUAGUGCCAGUGAUGG
This 410-nucleotide long non-coding RNA is filed under the name Manihot esculenta (cassava). Its description in RNAcentral is "long non-coding RNA (MESC_LNC002118)". Lineage: Eukaryota; Viridiplantae; Streptophyta; Magnoliopsida; Malpighiales; Euphorbiaceae. The record is from RNAcentral.